Molecule: ribosomal RNA, 254 nt
Filed under: uncultured bacterium
Lineage: Bacteria
Description: partial 16S ribosomal RNA
Rfam family: Bacterial small subunit ribosomal RNA
Source: RNAcentral
UACGAAGGGGGCUAGCGUUGCUCGGAAUCACUGGGCGUAAAGGGUGCGUAGGCGGGUCUUUUAAGUCAGGGGUGAAAUCCUGGAGCUCAACUCCAGAACUGCCUUUGAUACUGAGGAUCUUGAGUUCGGGAGAGGUGAGUGGAACUGCGAGUGUAGAGGUGAAAUUCGUAGAUAUUCGCAAGAACACCAGUGGCGAAGGCGGCUCACUGGCCCGAUACUGACGCUGAUGCACGAAAGCGUGGGGAGCAAACAGG